Molecule: long non-coding RNA, 980 nt
Organism: Homo sapiens (human)
Lineage: Eukaryota; Metazoa; Chordata; Mammalia; Primates; Hominidae
Source: Ensembl
AGUCAUUCUUGCAGAGCCAGCUGGGCGGGAGACUGGAGUUUUAUUAUUGCUCAAAUCAGUCUCCCCGAGCGUUUGGGGAUCAGAGAUUUUAAGGAUAAUAUGGCAUGGUCUCAGGAAGUGGGGAGUGCUGAUUGGUCAGGUUGGAGAUGGAAUCACAGGGGGAUCAAACACGUGCUCUCUACGGUUAAUGUCAUCCUUGGGAAGCCCGUCUUGAACACCUGGAAGGUUUUACAACAGCAACGGACCAAGCAGAGUUCACAGCUACUACAUUCAGUGGGAAGGUUUUCCCAAGCACUACAAUUAGGAGAUAGCCCUCCUUUGUCCUUCUCCCAAACUAAUGUGCAGAUGAGCAGCAUGGUAAUCAUGUCCAGCCACCCAAAAACCUAUCAACAGAGGUUUGUUUUCCCAUACUUUGACCUCUGGGGCAAUGUGGUCAUUGACAAGAGCUAUCUAGAAAACUUGCCAUCAGAUUCACCUAUUGUCACCAUGGCUUUCCCAACUCUCCAAGCCAUCCUUGCCCAGGGUAUCCAGGAAAAUAAUUUUGCAGAGAGCUUAGUGAUGACGACCACUGUCAGCCAUAAUGUGACUAUGCCAUUCAGCAUUUCAAUGACUUUUAAGAACAACAGCCCUUCAGGCGGCGAAACAACAUGUGUCUUCUGGAACUUCAGGCUUUCCAACAACACGGGGGGUGGGACAGCAGUGGGUGCUAUGUUGAAGAAGGUGAUGGGGACAAUGUCACCUGUAUCUGUGACUACCUAACAUCAUUCUCCAUUCUCAAGUCCCCUGACUCCCCAGAUCCUGGUUCUCUCCUGGGAAUACUACUGGAUAUUAUUUCUUAUGUUGGGGUGGGCUUUUCCAUCUUCAGCUUGGCGGCCUGUCUAGUUGUGGAAACUGUGGUGUGGAAAUCAGUGACCAAGAACCAGACUUCCUAUAUGCGCCACAUCUGCAUAGUGAAUGUUGCUGCCUCCCUUCUGGUCGCC